ACUACGGGAGGCAGCAGUGGGGAAUAUUGCACAAUGGGGGAAACCCUGAUGCAGCGACGCCGCGUGAGUGAAGAAGGAACUCGUUAUGUAAAGCUCCAUCAGCAGGGAAGAAAAUUACGGUACCUGAGUAAGAAGGCCCGGCCAACUACGAGCCAGCAGCCGCGGUACUACGGAGGGGGCAAGCGUUAUCCGGAUUUACUGGGUGUAAAGGGAGCGUAGACGGCAGUGCAAGUCUGGAGUGAAAGGCGGGGGUUCAACCCCCGGACUGCUGUGGAAACUGGACGGCUGGAGUGCAGGAGAGGUAAGUGGAAUGCCUAGUGUAGCGGUGAAAUGCGUAGAUAUUAGGAGGAACUCCAGUGGCGAAGGCGGCUUACUGGACUGUAACUGACGUUGAGGCUCGAAAGCGUGGGGAGCAAACAGGAUUAGAUACCCGUGUAGUC
Molecule: ribosomal RNA, 440 nt
Filed under: uncultured bacterium
Lineage: Bacteria
Description: partial 16S ribosomal RNA
Rfam family: Bacterial small subunit ribosomal RNA
Source: RNAcentral